CAAAAGAAGACUUUGAUCCUGGGUUAGAAAGAACGCUAGUUAUAUGCAUAACACAUGCAAGUCGAACGUUGUUUUUGGGGAUCUAGGCAGAAGGAAAAGAGGCUCCUAGAUAAAGGUAGCUUCGCUCGCGCAGAAGGUUAGACGAGUUGACAACAAAGUGGUGAAUGGGUGCGUAACGCAUGGGAAUCUGCCAAACAGUUCGGGCCAAAUCCUGAAGAAAGCUAAAAAGGUUGUUUGAUGAACCUGUGUAGUAUAAGGUAGUUGGUCAGGUAAAGGCUCACCAAGCCUAUGAUGCAUCGCAAGUCUUUUUGGAUGAUCAGCCACACUGGGACUGAGACACCGCCUUGACUCCCACGGGGGGCAGCAGUGGGGAAUCUUGGACAAUCGGAGGAAGACCGAUUAGGCAAUAUCGCAUGAGUGAAGAAGGUCAAUGUUGUAAUUCUCUUUUGUCGAGUGCGUGAUCAUGACAGUACUCGAGGAAGAAGCCCCGGCUAACUCCGAGCAAGCAGCCGCAAUAAGUCAGGGGGAAAAUGUUUUUCGGAAUGAUUGGGCAUAAAGGGCACGUAGGCGGUGAAUCUGUGCUGCAUGUCUAUCGUCAGCUCGUGCCAUGAGAUAUUUGGUCAAAUCCUUUUACGAGAUAAACCCUCAUUUUAUGUUGAUGAGACAUGUGGCUAAGGAAAAAAUCUUUGCAACCAAAGUGAUCUCAGGAGACGAGUGAUGCCCCAGCUACAAAUUGAGUGCCAGCACCUAGCUGUACUGUUAGUAAGAAGGUAGCCGGCAUCUUUCGAAGCACUUUCUAUUUCUAGUUAACGUUAUUUUUUUAUUGCAGGUAGCGCGCUUGACUAAUAAUAUAGAAAGGGCCUUUCUCACUUGUUUAGUAAUGUCAAGUUUUUUGGUCUUAUCUUGCAGGUGACGACGACGUCGAGUUGACGGCAGAUAAAGACUCGGCAUUCACGAUAGCCAACCGAUAGUGUGGUACGUAGUUGGUUUAGUAUGCCCCACCCAAACAAAUGGAUUUGAAACAAACAAAAACGUGUGUGCCGCACUCACAAAGGACUUCCAGUGAUAUACUGGAGGACGGUGGGGAUGACGUCAAGUCUGCAUGGCCCUUAUGGGCUGGGCCACACACAUGAUACAAUGGCAAUUACGAUGGGAACGAUGAUUUUAAGGCGGAGCAAAUGCAAAAAGAUUGCUUCAGUUAGGAUUGUUCUCUGCAACUCGGGAACAUGAAGGUUGAAUCGCUAGUAAUUGCAGAUCAGCAUGCCGCGGUGAAUAUGUACCCAUGCCCUGUACACACCGCCUAUCACACACUAGGAAUUGGUUUCGCCCGAAGCAUCAGACCAAUGAUCACCCAUUAAUUCUUUGGCACACUAGUGCCACAAAGGCCUUUGGUAGUCUUAUUGGAGCAUACCACGGUAGGGUCUUCGAAUGGGGUGAAGUUGUAACAAGGUUUCCGUAUGGGAACCGGUGGCUAGAUUGAAUCGUUC
This is a non-coding RNA of Solanum lycopersicum (tomato), 1487 nucleotides long. NCBI's taxonomy places the organism in Eukaryota, Viridiplantae, Streptophyta, Magnoliopsida, Solanales, Solanaceae. The record is from Rfam.